UAGGGCCCUUUGACUCGCGAGCCUCCUUCUUCGGCGGCGGCAGGUCCCUCUGUUUGUACCUCCACCCGAACGCCGAUGCGCGAGAGCGGGUGUCGGCGCGCCGUAAGCGGCCUAAAAGUCGCCGGCGCGUGCCGACGUCCGUAGCGGUUGGCACGGCGCAUCGGAGAAGUAGACGGAGGACAAGGGAACGUCAACGAAGGUCGCCGUUACCUCGGCGCCGACCUGGGCACCCCUCGCCGCACCUCCAGCGCGCGCGGUUCUCCUACGAGGUACACCACGACCAAAGGGGAGACUAGGGUCCUUUAUGUCCUAGAUAACGUUCCUGAACACGUCGAAGUCGUCAACCGGAGGUAGAACAGCCCGGUAACCCAAAAGUACACCUACUGUGUUUUGAAUUCGCACGACCUAACCUAAUAACCGGUAUACAACAGCAAUUCUAAGUACUGAGGACCCUACUCAAGGCUCUAAUAAAGUACUUCGUCCUACCCGUUUUUUCUAACAACCGUAAAUGGUUUUCUCCGUGGGUGUAAGUAAGUCUAAAGAGUAUAUUCGGACCCCUGACCGAUCAUAAGCCCAGGCUCUGUUUUCCCGAUGGUCUCAGGCGGGACCUUCUGACGAGGCCUCUUCGGGACCCACCACCUUGGUAGGCUUAAGGCUACCACCUUUGGAUACAGGCCACGGACUUGGAGAGCCACUCACAACCUCAUCGCGACAUGCUUCGUCGCUCCGUCGACUUGAUGCUCGUCGAGGUCAUGGUUGGACUAGAGGGUCUCCUUCGCGUUCCUGACAAGGGUCGUCUCCUAUAGAUACCUACUUUUAUGAAAUGGACUCUUAGUUAGCUACUUUGAUGUGUAGUUCUCAAAGAAGUCGACAUACGGGCCACGGACAGAGUUGGUUUUACACAUGACCUGAAAGGUUUCUGGUUAACCUACAUAUGUGAAACGCCAGUCCUCCAUUAAUCUGUACUGUUCUUUGAUCUACCCCCCAGAGAAGAUUGGAGGUCAUGUGACUCGACGGAUGAACAGGAUUUGGUAAUUC
RNAcentral lists this ribosomal RNA (1038 nucleotides) under Triticum aestivum (bread wheat). Its description in RNAcentral is "partial small subunit ribosomal RNA". Lineage: Eukaryota; Viridiplantae; Streptophyta; Magnoliopsida; Poales; Poaceae. The record is from RNAcentral.